AGAUGGCGACCGGCGCACGGGUGAGUAACACGUAUCCAACCUGCCGGUGACUCGGGGAUAGCCUUUCGAAAGAAAGAUUAAUACCCGAUGGCAUAGUUCUUCCGCAUGGUAGAACUAUUAAAGAAUUUCGGUCAUCGAUGGGGAUGCGUUCCAUUAGGUUGUUGGCGGGGCAACGGCCCACCAAGCCUUCGAUGGAUAGGGGUUCUGAGAGGAAGGUCCCCCACAUUGGAACUGAGACACGGUCCAAACUCCUACGGGAGGCAGCAUG
Molecule: ribosomal RNA, 268 nt
Filed under: uncultured bacterium
Lineage: Bacteria
Description: partial 16S ribosomal RNA
Rfam family: Bacterial small subunit ribosomal RNA
Source: RNAcentral